CAGGCUUAACACAUGCAAGUCGAGGGGCAGCAUGGUCUUAGCUUGCUAAGGCCGAUGGCGACCGGCGCACGGGUGAGUAACACGUAUCCAACCUGCCGUCUACUCUUGGACAGCCUUCUGAAAGGAAGAUUAAUACAAGAUGGCAUCAUGAGUCCACAUGUUCACAUGAUUAAAGGUAUUCCGGUAGACGAUGGGGAUGCGUUCCAUUAGAUAGUAGGCGGGGUAACGGCCCACCUAGUCUUCGAUGGAUAGGGGUUCUGAGAGGAAGGUCCCCCACAUUGGAACUGAGACACGGUCCAAACUCCUACGGGAGGCAGCAGUGAGGAAUAUUGGUCAAUGGGCGAGAGCCUGAACCAGCCAAGUAGCGUGAAGGAUGACUGCCCUAUGGGUUGUAAACUUCUUUUAUAAAGGAAUAAAGUCGGGUAUGGAUACCCGUUUGCAUGUACUUUAUGAAUAAGGAUCGGCUAACUCCGUGCCAGCAGCCGCGGUAAUACGGAGGAUCCGAGCGUUAUCCGGAUUUAUUGGGUUUAAAGGGAGCGUAGAUGGAUGUUUAAGUCAGUUGUGAAAGUUUGCGGCUCAACCGUAAAAUUGCAGUUGAUACUGGAUAUCUUGAGUGCAGUUGAGGCAGGCGGAAUUCGUGGUGUAGCGGUGAAAUGCUUAGAUAUCACGAAGAACUCCGAUUGCGAAGGCAGCCUGCUAAGCUGCAACUGACAUUGAGGCUCGAAAGUGUGGGUAUCAAACAGGAUUAGAUACCCUGGUAGUCCACACGGUAAACGAUGAAUACUCGCUGUUUGCGAUAUACAGCAAGCGGCCAAGCGAAAGCGUUAAGUAUUCCACCUGGGAGUACGCCGGCAACGGUGAAACUCAAAGGAAUUGACGGGGGCCCGCACAAGCGGAGGAACAUGUGGUUUAAUUCGAUGAUACGCGAGGAACCUUACCCGGGCUUAAAUUGCAGAUGAAUUACGGUGAAAGCCGUAAGCCGCAAGGCAUCUGUGAAGGUGCUGCAUGGUUGUCGUCAGCUCGUGCCGUGAGGUGUCGGCUUAAGUGCCAUAACGAGCGCAACCCUUGUUGUCAGUUACUAACAGGUUCCGCUGAGGACUCUGACAAGACUGCCAUCGUAAGAUGUGAGGAAGGUGGGGAUGACGUCAAAUCAGCACGGCCCUUACGUCCGGGGCUACACACGUGUUACAAUGGGGGGUACAGAGGGCCGCUACCACGCGAGUGGAUGCCAAUCCCAAAAACCUCUCUCAGUUCGGACUGGAGUCUGCAACCCGACUCCACGAAGCUGGAUUCGCUAGUAAUCGCGCAUCAGCCACGGCGCGGUGAAUACGUUCCCGGGCCUUGUACACACCGCCCGUCAAGCCAUGGGAGCCGGGGGUACCUGAAGUGCGUAACCGCGAGGAGCGCCCUAGGGUAAAACUGGUGACUGGGGC
Molecule: ribosomal RNA, 1433 nt
Filed under: uncultured bacterium
Lineage: Bacteria
Description: 16S ribosomal RNA
Rfam family: Bacterial small subunit ribosomal RNA
Source: RNAcentral